RNAcentral lists this ribosomal RNA (292 nucleotides) under uncultured bacterium. RNAcentral describes it as "partial 16S ribosomal RNA". It matches the Rfam family "Bacterial small subunit ribosomal RNA", at positions 505 to 796 of the family's 1533-position model. The record is from RNAcentral.
GUGCCAGCCGCCGCGGUAAUACGGAGGGUGCAAGCGUUGUUCGGAAUUACUGGGCGUAAAGCGCGUGUAGGCGGCUUGGCAAGUCGGAUGUGAAAUCCCCGGGCUCAACCCGGGAACUGCAUCCGAAACUGCUUCGCUAGAGUCUCGGAGAGGAAGGCAGAAUUCCCAGUGUAGGGGUGAAAUCCGUAGAUACUGGGAGGAAUACCGGCAGCGAAGGCGGCCUUCUGGACGAUGACUGACGCUGAGACGCGAAAGCGUGGGGAGCAAACAGGAUUAGAAACCCCCGUAGUCC